Passer domesticus (house sparrow) is the source of this 2560-nucleotide long non-coding RNA. RefSeq lists it as uncharacterized. Lineage: Eukaryota; Metazoa; Chordata; Aves; Passeriformes; Passeridae. The record is from RefSeq and is a predicted model, not a curated record. The transcript has 5 exons.
CCCUGCCCAAGCAGGCAUCCCAGAGCACAUGGCACAGGAUUGCACCCGGGCAGUCCCCGAGUACCUCCAGCGAGGGACACUCCACAACCUGUUCCAGUGAGUGUUCUGCCCAGUAAAGUUCUUCCUCAUAAUCAGGUCUCUGGUUCUCCAUAAAGGGAAAAAGGAAAACAAGAGUCUGUUUGGUGACGUCUCUGGGAGGUGCUGUUACUGUUCCAAAAGGCCGUUGGAACUGUAAAGCCAGAAGAGGAAAGAGGACAACAUGUAAGUUGUGUCUAACGAUGCAUGAAGAAUGGUAAGCAUUAAGUAAGAUUUUUACCAGAACAACUAAUCUUUGAAAACAAACAACAGCUCCCUUUUUGGCUCACUAAAUGUUAUUUUCUCAAAAUAUAUCUAACUGCCCAUUCAAAGUUUGUCUCACUUGUAGCCCCAAACAAUGGCUGUUUCCUGAACUGCAUAGUCUUGGGUCUCACCCCACAAAAGUAAUCAAUAACUACCUGUUCCUUAUAAUAACAGGUGUCAGAACCAAACAUUUAGAAAUGCACUACUGUGCAUUUUAGCACUGUAGUUUAAGUUCAGAGAGCUCUGCAUUCUGUGGUGUUUGUCAGUCAGACUUUGAGGGAGGUCUUCAAAGUAUUGCUCACUUAAUGCAGCAAAAGUUCAUCACUCCCAUGGAAAGUCAAUCCCUCCACUUCUGUGAGGAAGUUAACUCCAGUUCACACAGGGUUGCAGGAUUGUUUUUGUUUUCCCUAAACACUUAUAAAAUGUCAAACCUUUGAAUGUGUGUGCAUAUGGAGAGGCAUGAUGUAUUUCUGUGUCCUAUAUGUGCUGUGUUCAUCUGCACUCUGCUCUGGGUAAAAGACAAAAGUACAUGUGCAUGAAUAGAGAAAUUUUUAAAUUUAGCAGCACCUAUAGAAAUUCAGUCCAAUUCUUUCUUCCUUCUCCCUCUGUGUCUGUGUGGCAAACACCCUGGGGUUCCUGUGGUUUUGAAGUGUAUUUGCAUGAUACUGUAUAAUGAGUGAUUACAUUGUUUUGUAGUUGUUUGAAGGAGGUCACAAAAAUAUUUUUUGUACUUCUUUUUCUUUUUUGUGGUGGUUGUAAUAGCUUUAGUCAUUCUGGGAUCAGCUGCCUUGCAAAAGGAAUAAAUAUAUGUAGGAAAAAAAUCACCUAAUUGUGACAAAUUGUCAGAAGGCUUUAGAUGUGGUGUAAUACUGUGUUUUCCUGUAAAUUUUGCUCCAGAAGGAGGGAGACGCCUGUAUUUUUAUUUCUUUCUCUGAGAUGUAAGCACAGAAAAGGCAAAUUUCUUUGCAGAGAGGGAAGUCAAGAUUUUUUUUAUGAGUAAGACCAAAAGAUUUCAAACGUCUCUGGCCUCUUCAUAGCAGAGCUUUUUCUAUCAUUGACUGGAACUUUGGAAUAAAUCAGAUAGAAAGUGCCUUAUAAGACUCAAUUUUUCAAGGAGUUUUUGAAAACUAUUUGCAUAUUGCCCAGUGCAAAAUUAAUUCUGAAAGCUUUAUAGUUAAUCAGAACAGUUGUUGAAGUGUCCUUGUUUCUGUGACUCACGUGCUUCAUCCACACUUUGUAUCAUGGUGAUAAACUGUCAGGAUGCCUUAUCCACCAAUGCUGAGUCUCUGAAGUUGACCCAGUCCCAUGUCCAGUAGUGUGAAAUGACACAAAGGGAGGGAAGGAGGAAAAUACAGAUUUGUGACCUGCAGUACACUGACAAAGCCUCCACCAGUGCCUGCCAGAGUUACGUGGAUGUAUAAGAAAUGCUAUUUCUUCUGCAUGGCUGGCAAUCAUGCAAAGCCUUCACUGUAGGUGGAUGAAGGGAACUGGUCAAGAAUCUGAGUAGACCAUCAGAACCAUCAGAAAGGAAAAGUGGGAUUUCUACAGCUGCCAAGGAGCUGAAGAGAGAAUGACCCUUGUGAAGGGGGGCAUGAAGCAAAGGGAGGAAGAAUGAUUGCAGCACAGAUGUUUAUAGGAAGGCCAUGGGUGGAGAUGGAGCUUGUCUUUCACCUGAUGAGUUUGAAUUAUAUGUGAAAAAGCAGUGAGAUCAUCUUGACACAACAGAUUCCCAUCAUUCCACCAUGGACAUGUCAGGUUGCUUUGUUCAGGGAUACUUGCUGAAAAUGCUGAACCUACAACGUAGUCCAUGGGAUUUAUGGUAGUUCUGGCCCCAAAUGGAGCCUAUCAGAAGAGUGAAGAAAGGCGUGCAGCUGAUGUUACCAUUUCCAGAUGCUGUUGUAACACCUGCCACACCAGUUCUUAGAUUGACUUUGUAGUAUAAUGUAAAUGCACUAAAAAUCAUUUUAGUUAUAAUAGCACAUCUGUAAAUUUUUUAUCCUUUUGAUACUUAAAUUGGCAUGAUAGCAGUUGAUAGUACACAGAAACCAGAGAAUACUUCAGAUUUACAAACCACCUGCAUCUUUGGUAUCUCAGCAGGCACCCAGAUGUUGCCAGGACAACAGAAUAUAGAUAUAGUUAGUCUGCAUAUUUCUUAUGUGUAUAUAUGGAUUUAAUAAACUGGAGAUUUUUAGAACUCACUGCUGUUAUGUGAUUACUUUAG